This is a long non-coding RNA of Trichomycterus rosablanca, 435 nucleotides long. RefSeq lists it as uncharacterized. The transcript has 3 exons. The record is from RefSeq and is a predicted model, not a curated record. NCBI's taxonomy places the organism in Eukaryota, Metazoa, Chordata, Actinopteri, Siluriformes, Trichomycteridae.
AAUUAAUCUUGAGUUAAAAUAUGUGGUGAAUAAAUAUGAAACAGGUGUUCAGGAUCUAAUCGAAUCACAGUUCCAUCUCAGAGUGUCAGGAACUAGGAUUGCCUAUUGAACACAUUGUCGAAGAGGUUGAAGAGCUAGAGAACACUGCACAAGACCGACAGACAGUAUUAAACGACAUUGAGGAGGAGCCUGAUGAAGCAGUAGAUGAUGUAGUGGGGCCUCCAGUAGAAGAAACAAGGCUUGCUUCUCCCCCACCUGAGCCAAUUAGAGCAACAGCAUCACCAGCUGAAGACUCAGAGGAAGAAGAGGAAGACGGUUCUGAUAGAUCAUCCAAUGCUGAAUCAGAACCAGAUCCAAUCACUCAACAGCCACAGUGCAGUAAUAAUGCUAGUGCGAUCCAUGAUGACACUCAGGAGAACGGAACAUUAACUGAGG